UUACUUUCUUCCCAGUGCCAUCUUUCCUCAGCUGACUCAUUUUGCACCUUUCUUGUGCCGGUUGCUGCCUUCUCUCUACAGACCUUUUGUCCUCAUUGGAGGUUUCCAUUCCUCUGCUCUGCAGUUUGAGCUGCUCCCCCCAUCCCCUCGCUGCCUUGUCCUCUCCCAACUCCUUUUCCAUGUCAGCUGGAGCUCUCCUCCUCCUCCUCCCCCUGAAGCACCAGGAUGGGAGCAACCAGAGUGCCUCAGAAACCACUUUCACCUCCUCUGCUUGGCGCUGCAGCAUCCUCAGCGUGUUGGAAGAUGUCAGGGCAGGGAUGUCCUGCUCAACCCCAUCAGCUGUGACUGCGUGAAAUCUGUUUCAGAGCCAGAAAUACAGAUUGAAUCUCAGGACUUCUACACCUUUGGUUCAGCAGCAAGACCAUCUGUCACUUCUAAUUCCUGCUAUGAAAAAGAUGAUCUAGUUAUCUUUGAUGGAAUAGCUCUGAAUUUUGCAAGCUACAGUCUUCUCCUUUGCCUCAAUUAGAUUUUCCUCCCCUCCUACAUACUGAAAUCUCUAUUUGAAGGUUCAGCCUUGGAUAAAGCUAAACCCCAAAAGAAUGUUGCCUUUUUAAUCACUGGCUCCCCACUGCAUAUGAUAUAAACUUGCAAACAUGCUAGCAGCUCUCACUAAAGCAAUUUUGACUUGCUUCCAAAGGGGAGAGAAAACAGGUGAAUUCCUUGUCACUUUAGAUUUCACUAAAGAUAUGCAGAAAUUUUGCUGCAUUUCAAGCUUGAUAUAUGUUUUAGAAGGUAGAGGAUUUAUAAGGAGAGGCUGGAUAUUUUUUCAGGCAUGUCUACAUCUUAACCAGCAUCUGCAUAUCAUUUCAAGGUUACUUUUAAAUCUUCUGGAUUUUCACUCAGCUUUGUUUGACUCUCAAAGGCAAAGCACUCUUUCUCAUAGGACCAUUAAAUCAUGAUGAGAUUCUCUUUUACAAAGAGGAAAACAAUCCAUUCUUUUUUUCUUUGGAGGAAACCAUCCUCAUCUUCAUCUGGGUGAAGAGAUGCUUCCUGAAUCAUAAUGUGUUCAGUCUUUCACAUAUGUGUUUUCUUGGUGUAAACUACAGAUAAACAGCACAUGUAAUCACAUGCUUUUGUACUGUAGGUGAGGGAUUGUCUCAGGCUGUUCCAUUCAGCUAUUGUUUUUUCCCACCCAUGUACACAUAAACACAUUCCUGAAGCUCAAACUCAGCUGUGUUUCUCUAGGCAUGUCUUGGGGCAUGUCGCUGCUGUUAAAUUUUAAUGAAAAUAAGAUUGAAAUUUUAGGGAUUAAUGACCGCUUGGCAAAAAUUCAGCUGAUAUCUACUUUAGCUGCACCACUUCUUCCAACCUCCCUUCUCCAAUGAAUAACUGAAAAGGACCGAGGAACAGAAAGCUGUUUCUAGGAUACAAUGUGCAGCACUUCCUACUCUUGGCUCUCUCUAACUUCAGCCUCUCAGCUCUGUCAUUUUUUUCUGUCUAUGAAUUUAAAAUAGCUUUUGCCACCAGAUAGUGAAGUGGAAGCAAAAGCAUUUGUCCCAGCUGUGAGUGGGAUCACCGUGCUACCGUGGUAAAAUCGAAGGGGCUGAUCUUCACAUGGAUUUUACAUUAAGAAAGGUCAAGAUUAUAUGAAGCAGCGGUGAAGCGUUUUUGUGCUGCCUUUACAGUCACAGGCAUGAAGUCGAUCCAGCUCUUCCUCUUUCCAGGAAGUCUGGCUGUAGAAUUGCACUCAAGAAGCUCUGUCCUGUUCCUCUGUCUUUUUGGUGUCACCAGUUAUUUAGAAUGAAAUACAAAGUGUAUUCUUCAAAUUUCAAAACAGCUGUUGGUAAACUUCCUCCUUUGAUUUUGUUCCUACCUUCCCUCUACCUGAACUGAUUAUGUUAAGGAUGACUCUGGAAGAGGAGGUGGCUAGAAAAAUACAAAAAAUAAACACAUCUGUGCUUCUCUCUCUCUUCCCGCACUGGGUUGCUGAGCACAUAUAGAAACCCCAGACCUCAGUCCCCAAACUGUAAGUAGGACAUGUUGAUUCUGAUUCUCUCACAAAGCCCUUAUUAGGCUACACCAGCAGACUUUCCUCUUCUUCCUUCUCCAGGUUGCUGUGGGAGUGUAACUGAUGCACUUCAUUAGGGUUGGAAAUGAUCAACAUUGAAGGAAUGUAAAUUAGAAGCAACAAGGAGCAAAAUGGUUUCUAUUCCUAAGUAGAUGCUUAAGAUUCCACACUCUACAGAAGCUUUCCUGCAGAGCUGUCGUCAGGAGUGAACCAAGCCUUUUCCAGAGUGUAGCAGUUUAAAAGUCAAUAAAGUGCCCUUGACUUUCCAAA
Taeniopygia guttata (zebra finch) is the source of this 2338-nucleotide non-coding RNA. NCBI's taxonomy places the organism in Eukaryota, Metazoa, Chordata, Aves, Passeriformes, Estrildidae. The record is from RefSeq and is a predicted model, not a curated record.